Molecule: transfer RNA, 75 nt
Filed under: Rhodospirillales bacterium URHD0017
Lineage: Bacteria; Pseudomonadati; Pseudomonadota; Alphaproteobacteria; Rhodospirillales
Description: tRNA_Pseudo_TTG
Source: RNAcentral
UUGGGCGUAGCCCUAUGGUAGGAUUGAGGACUUUGGUUCGGCCAUUCCCGGGUUCGAAUCCUGCCACCCCAGCCA